Molecule: small nuclear RNA, 107 nt
Organism: Ictidomys tridecemlineatus (thirteen-lined ground squirrel)
Lineage: Eukaryota; Metazoa; Chordata; Mammalia; Rodentia; Sciuridae
Source: Ensembl
GUGCUCACUUCAGCAGCACAUAUACUAAAAUUGGAAUGAUACAGAAUAGAUUAGCACGGCCCUUGCGCAAGGAUGACACACAAAUUCAUGAAGCAUUACAUAUUUUU